ACAGUAGUCCGCACAUUGGUU
This 21-nucleotide non-coding RNA is filed under the name Danio rerio (zebrafish). Its record names the gene dre-miR-199-3-3p. The record is from miRBase by way of RNAcentral. Lineage: Eukaryota; Metazoa; Chordata; Actinopteri; Cypriniformes; Danionidae. RNAcentral also lists the same sequence under 2 other names.